RNAcentral lists this ribosomal RNA (235 nucleotides) under uncultured bacterium. RNAcentral's name for it is "partial 16S ribosomal RNA". It matches the Rfam family "Bacterial small subunit ribosomal RNA", at positions 335 to 562 of the family's 1533-position model. The record is from RNAcentral.
AUUCCUACGGGAGGCAGCAGUAGGGAAUCUUCCACAAUGGACGAAAGUCUGAUGGAGCAACGCCGCGUGAGUGAAGAAGGGUUUCGGCUCGUAAAGCUUUGUUGGUAGUGAAGAAAGAUAGAGGUAGUAACUUGCCUUUUUUUGACGGUAAUUACUUAGAAAGUCACGGCUUACUACGUGCCAGCAGCCGCGGUAAUACGGAGGCGGCAAGCGUUUUUCGUAUUUAUUGGGCGUA